CCUACGGGAGGCUGCAGUGGGGAAUAUUGGACAAUGGGGGGAACCCUGAUCCAGCCAUGCCGCGUGUGUGAAGAAGGCCCUCGGGUUGUAAAGCACUUUCAGUGAGGAAGAACGCCUGGUGGUUAAUACCCAUCAGGAAAGACAUCACUCACAGAAGAAGCACCGGCUAACUCCGUGCCAGCAGCCGCGGCAAUACGGAGGGUGCGAGCGUUAAUCGGAAUUACUGGGCGUAAAGCGCGCGUAGGUGGCUUGAUAAGCCGGUUGUGAAAGCCCCGGGCUCAACCUGGGAACGGCAUCCGGAACUGUCAAGCUAGAGUGCAGGAGAGGAAGGUAGAAUUCCCGGUGUAGCGGUGAAAUGCGUAGAGAUCGGGAGGAAUACCAGUGGCGAAGGCGGCCUUCUGGACUGACACUGACACUGAGGUGCGAAAGCGUGGGUAGCAAACAGGAUUAGAUACCCCAGUAGUC
Molecule: ribosomal RNA, 465 nt
Filed under: Vreelandella stevensii
Lineage: Bacteria; Pseudomonadati; Pseudomonadota; Gammaproteobacteria; Oceanospirillales; Halomonadaceae
Description: partial 16S ribosomal RNA
Rfam family: Bacterial small subunit ribosomal RNA
Source: RNAcentral